RNAcentral lists this long non-coding RNA (1194 nucleotides) under Marmota monax (woodchuck). The record is from RNAcentral. Lineage: Eukaryota; Metazoa; Chordata; Mammalia; Rodentia; Sciuridae.
GGGAAGUCUUACAGGAAUAAUCAAGAGGAAUAAUAACCUGCACAGCCUUGUACUUCUUGCUCUUUGUAGUUGGUCACCUUCUGGAAACCACGGGACUCCACCUCCUUGUUUCUUACCUGCCUGCAACUGGGUGUCCCCCCUCACCCCUUCCUGUCACACUCAGACUCAUCCACAGUCUCCUUAGAGAGAUUUCAGGGAGACAGGAAACACUUCCCUCUCUUCCAUUAAAAAACAGUCCCUCCUCCCCGGGUGAGAUAACCAGAAAUGAAACAUUUUGUUCUACAUUUGGAAAUGGGUCUUAUAAUAUAUAUUCAAUUUGACUGGGUUCUAGGUGGUUCUGGAUUCUGAAGAAGAAGAAGAGGAAGAGGAGUAUGAGGAGGAGGAGGAAGAAGAAGCAGAGGGAGAAGAGGAGGAAGAAGAGAGAGCACGAGCACACACACUAGUGGGCUGGAAAGAGUGUGAGCUUGGGCACAGAUGUGUGGAAGGGAUGAGGAGAGGAAGAAACUCAGGAAGGAGAGACUUAAAGCACAGCUCUGCUGAAGUGGCUUCUUUGCUCUGCACAUGUCUCCAAAUGCCCUCAGACUCAGAAGUACCUUUUCACACAUGACUGAAAAUCAGGGAGGAAAGAGGAAGAGUCACAUUCCAGACUCACCUCCCACUCCUGUAGCCUGUUGCCCACAUUUGCUCCUUGUUGCUGAUCAGCAUUAGCCUGGGGGUAGCCCAAGUGCAGAAGAGCCAGGAAAGAGGAUGCUGCAGGCCAUGGCUGAGCUUUCUGCAGAGGAGGAAGAGUCAGAGGUGGAGGAAGAAGUACUGCUCAUCAUCCAUCAUCACUUGCAUUUGACAGAUACUCAAAGGCAGGCAGGGAGGUGGGAGAGCUGUAUAGUAUAAAAAGGGAAGGUUCUAGAUGUUCUCUGACUGGAGGCUGCUAGCAUAGGGAAGCUGUAGGCAGGCUAAUGAGAAGCCGUGUAUCCUAUGUGAUUGAUUACAGGCUCAAAUUUGGCCUUCUCUUUGUUGAUAGUUAGGAUAUAGCUCAGUUGAUCGAGAGCUUGUCUCACAUGCACAAGGCCCUGGGUUCAAUCCCCAGCCCCACAAAAAAAAUAAAAAUAAAAAAAUAAAACAAAACAAAACCCUACCUGAGUAUCUUUACAUUGCAUAAAGUCCCACACCUAGUGAACAACUGACAGUUUGAACCAG